This 74-nucleotide transfer RNA is filed under the name Desulfurellales bacterium. RNAcentral's name for it is "tRNA-Met". It matches the Rfam family "tRNA". From Rfam's summary of the family: Transfer RNA (tRNA) molecules are approximately 80 nucleotides in length. Their secondary structure includes four short double-helical elements and three loops (D, anti-codon, and T loops). Further hydrogen bonds mediate the characteristic L-shaped molecular structure. tRNAs have two regions of fundamental functional importance: the anti-codon, which is responsible for specific mRNA codon recognition, and the 3' end, to which the tRNAs corresponding amino acid is attached (by aminoacyl-tRNA synthetases). tRNAs cope with the degeneracy of the genetic code in two manners: having more than one tRNA (with a specific anti-codon) for a particular amino acid; and 'wobble' base-pairing, i.e. permitting non-standard base-pairing at the 3rd anti-codon position. Lineage: Bacteria; Pseudomonadati; Campylobacterota; Desulfurellia; Desulfurellales. The record is from RNAcentral.
CGCGCGGUAGAGCAGCCGGAAAGCUCGUCGGGCUCAUAACCCGAAGGUCGCAGGUUCGAUCCCUGCCCGCGCAA